CCUACGGGUGGCAGCAGUGAGGAAUAUUGGUCAAUGGCCGUAAGGCUGAACCAGCCAAGUCGCGUGAAGGAAGAAGGAUCGAUGGUUUGUAAACUUCGUUUAUAGGGGAAUAAAGGUAACCACGUGUGGAUAUUUGCAUGUACCCUAUGAAUAAGCAUAGGCUAACUCCGUGCCAGCAGCCGCGGUAAUACGGAGGAGGCGAGCGUUAUCCGGAUUUAUUGGGUUUUAAGGGGGCGUAGGUUGUUUUUUAAGUCAGCGGUGAAAGUUUGUGGCUUCACCCUAAAAUUGCCGUUGAAACUGGCAGACUUGAGUGUGUUUGAGGUAGGCGGAAUGCGUGGUGUCGCGG
RNAcentral lists this ribosomal RNA (346 nucleotides) under uncultured bacterium. RNAcentral's name for it is "partial 16S ribosomal RNA". It matches the Rfam family "Bacterial small subunit ribosomal RNA", at positions 338 to 681 of the family's 1533-position model. The record is from RNAcentral.